GGAAAUCUCACCAGGCCCGGACAUAUUUAUGAUUGACUGAUGAAAAGAUCCUUCUUGAUUCUAUGGGUGGUGGUGCAUGGCCGUUCUUAGUCGGUGAGGUGACUUGUCUGGUUAAUUCCGAUAACGGACGAGAUCUCGACUUAUUAACUAAAGUGUUGAAUUUAUAUUUGACAGUUUUCUUAAUUGGACAUUGGAUGUUCAUUCCAAGGAAGUUCGAGCCUAUAA
This 225-nucleotide ribosomal RNA is filed under the name uncultured eukaryote. RNAcentral's name for it is "partial 18S ribosomal RNA". It matches the Rfam family "Eukaryotic small subunit ribosomal RNA", at positions 1208 to 1456 of the family's 1831-position model. The record is from RNAcentral.